RNAcentral lists this ribosomal RNA (567 nucleotides) under uncultured archaeon. Its description in RNAcentral is "partial 16S ribosomal RNA". It matches the Rfam family "Bacterial small subunit ribosomal RNA", at positions 342 to 925 of the family's 1533-position model. The record is from RNAcentral.
CGGGGCGCAGCAGUGGGGAAUUUUGCGCAAUGGGGGGAACCUUGACGCAGCGACGCCGCGUGGGUGAUGAAGGCCUUCGGGUUGUAAAGCCCUGUUGGGGGGGAAGAUAAUGACGGUACCCCCUGAGGAAGCCCCGGCUAACUACGUGCCAACAGCCGCGGUAAGACGUAGGGGGCGAGCGUUGUCCGGAAUUACUGGGCGUAAAGGGCGUGUAGGCGGCUUUUCAAGUCGGCUGUGAAAUUCCCCGGCUUAACCGGGGGGGUGCAGUCGAAACUGAUGGGCUUGAGUGCAGGAGAGGGUGGUGGAAUUCCCGGUGUAGCGGUGACAUGCGUAGAUAUCGGGAGGAACACCGGUGGCGAAGGCGACCUCCUGGCCUGUUACUGACGCCGAGGCGCGAAAGCUGGGGGAGCAAACAGGAUUAGAUACCCUGGUAGUCCCAGCUGUAAACUCUGGGUACUAGGUGUGGGGGGCUUUGAUGCCCUCUGUGCCGUAGUUAACGCAUUAAGUACUCCGCCUGGGGAGUACGAUCGCAUGGUUGAAACUCAAAGGAAUUGGCGGGGGAGCACA